This is an RNA transcript of Cottoperca gobio, 2644 nucleotides long. It is a transcript of the gene named protein kinase, AMP-activated, gamma 3b non-catalytic subunit, with no coding region annotated. The transcript has 13 exons. The record is from RefSeq and is a predicted model, not a curated record. Lineage: Eukaryota; Metazoa; Chordata; Actinopteri; Perciformes; Bovichtidae.
CACAGUCCACAUUUAGACCUCAGUCUUUCCCAGACAUUCAGACCCAGCUGGCUGUAGCAGGCCGGUAGUGCACGGAUUCCCUUGUCUCCUCCGUCUUUUCCGUCCAUAACCACCUCCUUUCCUUCCUCCCCUUCGCCGCCCUUCUUCUCUUUGCCUGGACGUCUGUAUCUGAUAUGGUGGCAGUGCCUGCCAGAUGUCUGAGUUGGACAGUGGUUUGAGGGUUGUUGUCCAGGGUUUGGCCAGUUGAUCUGGUUUUACAAACGCAGACCUUCUGCUCCUCUUCCCCAGCCAUGGAGCCUUUUGCCGAGGUCCCGUUAUUUGAGAUGGACCAUGAGGAAGAUGAGGAAGAGAAUGUUCUCUCAGUGAAGAGUAAAGGCACAGAUCCUGACACGUUCAUAUACAUGAACUUCAUGAAGACUCACUGCUGCUACGAUGCUAUUCCUACCAGCUCUAAACUGGUCAUUUUUGACACGACACUACAGGUGAAGAAGGCUUUCUUUGCUCUGGUAGCUAACGGUGUGAGGGCAGCGCCGCUGUGGGACAACAAGCUUAAGUGUUUUGUGGGUAUGCUGACCAUCACUGACUUCAUCAACAUACUCCAUCGCUAUUACAAGUCUCCUCUGGUUCAGAUCUAUGAGCUAGAAGAACACAAGAUCGAGACAUGGAGAGAGAUCUAUCUACAGUACUCUAUCAACACACUGAUCAGCAUCACUCCUGACUGCAGUCUGUUUGAUGCCAUCUACUCUUUGUUGAAGAAUAAGAUACACCGGCUGCCGGUCAUCGACCCCGCAACAGGAAACGUCCUCCACAUCCUCACUCACAAACGCAUCCUCAAGUUCCUCCACAUCUUUGGAUCUAUGAUGCCUAAGCCAAGGUUUCUUCAGAAGCGGAUCAAUGAAGUGGCGAUCGGUACCUUCAAACAGAUCGCGACAGUCCAGGAAUCGGCUUCUGUCUUUGACGCUCUGACCAUUUUUGUGGAGAGAAGAGUGUCUGCUCUGCCUGUAGUCAACGAGCAAGGUAAAGUGGUGGCGCUGUACUCCAGGUUUGAUGUCAUUAACCUGGCAGCCCAGAAGAACUACAACAACCUGGACAUGACGAUGCGGGAGGCCGUCUCCUCCAGAGCCUGCUGUGUGGAGGGAGUCCUCAAGUGUUACCCUUACGAAACCCUAGAGACCAUCAUCGACCGCAUCGCAAAGGCCGAGGUGCAUCGUUUGGUGUUGGUUGACAGUGAUGAUGUGGUGAGAGGGAUUGUCUCUCUAUCUGACCUUCUACAAGCCCUGGUUCUCACUCCUGCAGGUAUUGAUGCACUGUACUCCUAACUCCACCCCUUCCGUUCAUCCCUUUGCUCUUUCUCUCAAUAUUAUCCCGACAUCUACCUUCACAUCCUCGAAGGCUUCCUGCUCCUUCUGCCGAUCUAGUUUCUUCUCUUCCUACUGACUAAACUCUUCUUCAUCUUCAACUUUAAAUCCUCCUGAAGACAAUGAGGGUCUUUCUUCUGUUCCUGGGAAAUCUUCUGACAAACAGGAACCAAUUUCCUCCUGAUCCUUUCAAGAAUACUUACCAGGAAUAAACAAAUUACACCCUUUAGGUAUUCAUCUGAAGCCCCGCCCACCUCCCCUGCUAAUCAAAGAUCAACCUCUCAAAUAUUUUCUUGAACCUUCUGUUCCUUCAACCAAUCACCUCAUCGGGAACACACGUCAUUUAAUGUCCUCUAAAACUCAUUAGAAGCAUCAAACUAAAAGUCCCUAGUGCCUGCUUUGAUACUUCCUGCCCCUGGAAAAUAAACAAAAACCCCCGCCCAGCCAAAAUCAACUUUGCUUUAACUAUUAAAUACCUAAUCUUCCAAUCCAACGGCCAAACCAGUUCAGUUGCCUCCAUGAAAAUCCUCCAAUUCUACAAAGUUGGAUGCCCCCCAACGUCUUCAUGCUGCGGUUCCUUCUGUGAAGCCACCAGCACCUCUUAGCCAACACAUCCCAGAUACGUUUGAGGGAUCAUGCUUUCAAGGCUGAAGAAACCAAGAUGGAGGUUGUUGUCGUUAAACCAGACGACGUGGUGGCAAAGUAACUCAGAGAGUAGCGGAGCGAUGUUGUGGCUGAGAAGUCAUCGGUUUCAAUCCCAGUCCCAAAGACAAAUGUGGCAAGAGAAAGUGAAAAGCCCCAAGUGCAGCUGCUCAGUGGACACCAACAGACUGCUGGGACACUGCCGGUGUUGAACUGUAUCACAGGUGUGGCUGGAAGGCUGGAUGCACAUCCAAAGACUUUUAAACUGCGUCAAGUUUGAGGUUGUUUUUGAAAGUUCUUUUACUUUGAAAUUUAGUUGUUGAUGUAAUGUUUGAUGGUUUUUACUUUAUUUUCUUGAUUUUAGAAUGAAAUUGGGCAUUCAUGUAUUGAAAAUAUUGGAUCUUGCAAUUUUCUAAAUGCACUUAUGUUCUGGUCACUGUCAAAAAAAAAAAGAAUAAAUAUUUUUGCUUUGUACGGCUUCCUACAAUACUCACACACUUGUUUUAUUUUGAAAACACGGUCAUUUAGUUUUGAUGUGCUGAAGAACGUCAAUAUAGUGCAGAGGUAAUCUAGGUCAAAUGCUGGAUAAAUAAGUGGUGAAUGGUUUGACUACCUGGUUUUAAUACUUUAAACUAAACACCAGC